GUUCCCGGUGAUGUAAGAAUGACCAUGCUAAUUCUGGAUAUUGAUUUUGAAGAAAGCUUAUGUUAUUUAUCUGAGGGAGCA
Capsicum annuum is the source of this 81-nucleotide non-coding RNA. NCBI's taxonomy places the organism in Eukaryota, Viridiplantae, Streptophyta, Magnoliopsida, Solanales, Solanaceae. The record is from Rfam.